CCUACGGGUGGCAGCAGUGGGGAAUAUUGGGCAAUGGGCGGAAGCCUGACCCAGCGACGCCGCGUGAGGGAAGACAGCCUUCGGGUUGUAAACCUCUGUUGCAGGGGAAGAAGGACGUGACGGUACCCUGCGAGGAAGCUCCGGCUAACUACGUGCCAGCAGCCGCGGUAAUACGUAGGGAGCGAGCGUUGUCCGGAAUUACUGGGCGUAAAGGGCGCGUAGGCGGCGCUUCAAGUCGUCUGUCAAAAGCCGAGGCUCAACCUCGGUGCGCAGACGAAACUGGAGAGCUUGAGAAGCAGAGAGGCAAACAGAAUUCCUGGUGUAGCGGUGAAAUGCGUAGAUAUCAGGAAGAAUACCAGUGGCGAAGGCGGUUUGCUGGCUGCAUACUGACGCUGAAGCGCGAAAGCCAGGGGAGCAAACGGGAUUAGAUACCCCAGUAGUC
Molecule: ribosomal RNA, 442 nt
Filed under: uncultured Pyramidobacter sp.
Lineage: Bacteria; Thermotogati; Synergistota; Synergistia; Synergistales; Dethiosulfovibrionaceae
Description: bacterial SSU rRNA
Rfam family: Bacterial small subunit ribosomal RNA
Source: RNAcentral